GAUGAAGAACGUAGCGAAAUGCGAUAAGUAAUGUGAAUUGCAGAAUUUAGUGAAUCAUCGAAUCUUUGAACGCACAUUGCGCCCCUUGGUACUCCAUGGGGCAUGCCUGUUCGAGCGUCAUUUACCCCCUCAAGCUUUGCUUGGUGUUGGGCGUCUGUCCCCGCUUCUGGCGCGGACUCGCCUCAAAAGUAUUGGCAGCGGUCACGUCGGCGUCUUCCCGAGCGCAGUAGUUUGCGCAUGACGGAACGUUCGAGAUGGGCCACGACCAUCAAGUACAUCCACCAGUUUGACCUCGGAUCAGGUAGGGAUACCCGCUGAACUUAAGCAUAUCAAUAAGCGGAGGA
This 344-nucleotide unclassified non-coding RNA is filed under the name soil metagenome. Its description in RNAcentral is "partial contains 5.8S ribosomal RNA, internal transcribed spacer 2, and large subunit ribosomal RNA". The stretch from base 1 to 120 matches the Rfam family "5.8S ribosomal RNA", at positions 35 to 154 of the family's 154-position model. The record is from RNAcentral.